UUGCUGUCACUUAUAGAUGGAUCCGCGCUGCAUUAGCUAGUUGGUAAGGUAACGGCUUACCAAGGCAACGAUGCAUAGCCGACCUGAGAGGGUGAUCGGCCACACUGGAACUGAGACACGGUCCAGACUCCUACGGGAGGCAGCAGUAGGGAAUCUUCCGCAAUGGGCGAAAGCCUGAAGGAGCAACGCCGCGUGAGUGAUGAAGGUCUUCGGAUCGUAAAACUCUGUUAUUAGGGAAGAACAUAUGUGUAAGUAACUGUGCACAUCUUGACGGUACCUAAUCAGAAAGCCACGGCUAACUACGUGCCAGCAGCCGCGGUAAUACGUAGGUGGCAAGCGUUAUCCGGAAUUAUUGGG
Molecule: ribosomal RNA, 357 nt
Filed under: Staphylococcus aureus
Lineage: Bacteria; Bacillati; Bacillota; Bacilli; Caryophanales; Staphylococcaceae
Description: bacterial SSU rRNA
Rfam family: Bacterial small subunit ribosomal RNA
Source: RNAcentral